This 235-nucleotide ribosomal RNA is filed under the name uncultured bacterium. RNAcentral's name for it is "partial 16S ribosomal RNA". It matches the Rfam family "Bacterial small subunit ribosomal RNA", at positions 15 to 229 of the family's 1533-position model. The record is from RNAcentral.
GAUCCUGGCUCAGGACGAACGCUGGCGGCGCGCCUAACACAUGCAAGUCGAACGGAGAGUGUGAGACGGAAGCCUUCGGGCGGAAGACUUAUAUUCUUAGUGGCGGACGGGUGAGUAACACGUGAGCAACCUGCCUUCAAGAGUGGGAUAGCAUCUGGAAACGGGUGGUAAUACCGCAUAAGACCACAGCAUCGCAUGGUGCAGAGGUCAAAGGAGCAAUCCGCUUGAAGAUGGG